UGAGAAUCUAUUCUAGAUAGAACGCGAAGGGAAAAAACGCGGGAGAUCUACUUUCUCCACCCUUUUCUUCUCCCCUCCCCCGCCUCUCCUCCGAAAGCUCCGCCCCGCCUGCGUCCUUUGCGUACUCUCCUCAACCGAGCCCCUUCCUUCCGGCUGCUCCUCUUCCGCAGCGCGUAGCGCUUUCGUCACGUCCGGUGCGUUUCGAGCAACGCACCUGCAGUCGGCGCUGUUCUCUCCGAGUCCGCGGCAAUCUCUCUCUCUCUCUCUCUCUCUCUCUCUCCCCCCCCCGCCGACUUUGCGCAGAUCUUCCCAGCCUAAGCGCGGUUUUGGUCGGCGGCGGCUGCGGGUUCAAGGGCGGAGGCGAGUUUUUCCCUCACUCCCCCUCCUCAAAGGGUGAGCGGGCCGAGAGGCAGCCACCGGCGCAGUCAUGCUGGCUUUCCAGAGGGGGCUGCGGUUGCUGAAUGGGACCGUGAGGAGCCAGAUCCUCCCAAGGGCAAAGAUGUCCACCAAGUCAGGAAAGAACAGUUUCUUGGAAAAUGCCAUUGGAUUCACAGUGAUUUUUACUGGUGGUCUUUUCCCAAUUUGUUGGGUUACGGGCCAUCUGGACAGUUACAGUAAAUGAGAAGAAAAAGAUUUGGGAACAUGGUCACGAAGAAUAAAAUGUCAAUGUUUGUUAUUCCCAGAGGCUUUCAUUAUUAAAACUAAAAUUUGAAAAUUCAGAA
Ahaetulla prasina is the source of this 722-nucleotide long non-coding RNA. RefSeq lists it as uncharacterized. NCBI's taxonomy places the organism in Eukaryota, Metazoa, Chordata, Lepidosauria, Squamata, Colubridae. The record is from RefSeq and is a predicted model, not a curated record. The transcript has 2 exons.